UACGGAGGGUGCAAGCGUUAUCCGGAUUUACUGGGUUUAAAGGGUGCGUAGGUGGGUUGGGAAGUCAGUGGUGAAAUACUUUCGCUUAACGAAGGAACUGCCAUUGAUACUAUCAAUCUUGAAUGUAGUGGAGGUAGGCGGAAUGCGUCAUGUAGCGGUGAAAUGCUUAGAUAUGACGCAGAACACCAAUUGCGAAGGCAGCUUGCUACACUACUAUUGACACUGAGGCACGAAAGCGUGGGGAUCGAAA
RNAcentral lists this ribosomal RNA (250 nucleotides) under uncultured bacterium. Its description in RNAcentral is "partial 16S ribosomal RNA". It matches the Rfam family "Bacterial small subunit ribosomal RNA", at positions 524 to 773 of the family's 1533-position model. The record is from RNAcentral.